RNAcentral lists this ribosomal RNA (529 nucleotides) under Hyperolius balfouri balfouri. Its description in RNAcentral is "partial large subunit ribosomal RNA". It matches the Rfam family "Bacterial large subunit ribosomal RNA", at positions 1857 to 2606 of the family's 2925-position model. Lineage: Eukaryota; Metazoa; Chordata; Amphibia; Anura; Hyperoliidae. The record is from RNAcentral.
GCCUGCCCCGUGAUUUACUUUAACGGCCGCAGUAUAACCGCGCAAAGGUAGCAUAAUCAAUUGUCCCUUAAAUCGGGACUAGUAUGAACGGCACCACGAGGGUUUAACUGUCUCCCCCCCUUAAUCAAUGAAAUUUAUCUUCCCGUGAAAAAGCGGGGAUACUAAUAUAAGACGAGAAGACCCUAUGGAGCUUAAAACUUAUUACCAUAUAUUUUAUAAAACAACAAAUUAUCUAAUAUUACUGUUCUAUAAUAGUUUUCGGUUGGGGCAACCCUGGAGAAAAGUAAAUCCUCCAGAUUGAAAAAUAACCUUAUACAAGAAUUACAAUUCAAAUAAACAAAAAUUUGACAAUAUUGACCCAGAAUUAACUGAUCAAUGAACCAAGUUACCCUAGGGAUAACAGCGCUAUCCAUUUUAAGAGUCCAUAUCGACAAAUGGGUUUACGACCUCGAUGUUGGAUCAGGAUAUCCUAGCAGUGCAAAAGUCGCUAACGGUUCGUUUGUUCAACGAUUAAUAUCCUACGUGAUCU